This 311-nucleotide ribosomal RNA is filed under the name uncultured bacterium. Its description in RNAcentral is "bacterial SSU rRNA". It matches the Rfam family "Bacterial small subunit ribosomal RNA", at positions 28 to 327 of the family's 1533-position model. The record is from RNAcentral.
GAUGAACGCUGGCGGCGUGCCUAACACAUGCAAGUCGAACGAAGCGCUUUGAAGUUUUCGGACAGAUGAGUGACUGAGUGGCGGACGGGUGAGUAACGCGUGGGUAACCUGCCUCAUACAGGGGGAUAACAGUUAGAAAUGACUGCUAAUACCGCAUAAGUGCACAGCUUCGCAUGAAGCAGUGUAAAAAAACUCCGGUGGUAUGAGAUGGACCCGCGUCUGAUUAGCUAGUUGGUGGGGUAACGGCCUACCAAGGCGACGAUCAGUAGACCGGCCUGAGAGGGUGAACGGCCACAUUGGGACUGAGACAC